Molecule: ribosomal RNA, 235 nt
Filed under: uncultured Staphylococcus sp.
Lineage: Bacteria; Bacillati; Bacillota; Bacilli; Caryophanales; Staphylococcaceae
Description: partial 16S ribosomal RNA
Rfam family: Bacterial small subunit ribosomal RNA
Source: RNAcentral
GGUGAGUAACACGUGGACAACCUACCUAUAAGACUGGGAUAACUUCGGGAAACCGGAGCUAAUACCGGAUAAUAUAUUGAACCGCAUGGUUCAAUAGUGAAAGACGGUUUUGCUGUCACUUAUAGAUGGAUCCGCGCCGCAUUAGCUAGUUGGUAAGGUGACGGCUUACCAAGGCAACGAUGCGUAGCCGACCUGAGAGGGUGAUCGGCCACACUGGAACUGAGACACGGUCCAG